RNAcentral lists this ribosomal RNA (433 nucleotides) under uncultured bacterium. Its description in RNAcentral is "partial 16S ribosomal RNA". It matches the Rfam family "Bacterial small subunit ribosomal RNA", at positions 29 to 507 of the family's 1533-position model. The record is from RNAcentral.
AACGAACGCUGGCGGCAUGCCUAACACAUGCAAGUCGAACGAGACCUUCGGGUCUAGUUGCGCACGGGUGCGUAACGCGUGGGAACCUGCCCUUAGGUUCGGAAUAACUCCCCGAAAGGGGUGCUAAUACCGGAUAAUGUCUUCGGACCAAAGAUUUAUCGCCUUUGGAUGGGCCCGCGUUGGAUUAGCUAGUUGGUAGGGUAAAAGCCUACCAAGGCGACGAUCCAUAGCUGGUCUGAGAGGAUGAUCAGCCACACUGGGACUGAGACACGGCCCAGACUCCUACGGGAGGCAGCAGUGGGGAAUAUUGGACAAGGGGCGAAAGCCUGAUCCAGCAAUGCCGGGUGAGUGAUGAAGGCCUUAGGGUUGUAAAGCUCUUUUACCCGGGAUGAUAAUGACAGUACCGGGAGAAUAAGCUCCGGCUAACUCCGUG